UGAAUUGACGGGGCCGCACAAGCGGAGGAACAUGUGGUUUAAUUCGAUGAUACGCGAGGAACCUUACCUGGGCUUAAAUGUAGAGUGCAUGAGGUAGAAAUACUUCUUUUCUUCGGAACUCUCUGCAAGGUGCUGCAUGGUUGUCGUCAGCUCGUGCCGUGAGGUGUCGGGUUAAGUCCCAUAACGAGCGCAACCCUUAUCGUUAGUUGCCAGCGGGUAAUGCCGGGGACUCUAGCGAAACUGCCGGUGUAAACCGAGAGGAAGGUGGGGAUGACGUCAAAUCAGCACGGCCCUUAUGUCCAGGGCUACACACGUGUUACAAUGGCCGGUACAGAGGGCAGCUACCUGGAGACAGGAUGCGAAUCUCGAAAGCCGGUCCCAGUUCGGAUCGGAGUCUGCAACUCGACUCCGUGAAGCUGGAUUCGCUAGUAAUCGCGCAUCAGCCAUGGCGCGGUGAAUACGUUCCCGGGCCUU
This 474-nucleotide ribosomal RNA is filed under the name uncultured Sphingobacteriales bacterium. RNAcentral describes it as "bacterial SSU rRNA". It matches the Rfam family "Bacterial small subunit ribosomal RNA", at positions 907 to 1382 of the family's 1533-position model. The record is from RNAcentral. Lineage: Bacteria; Pseudomonadati; Bacteroidota; Sphingobacteriia; Sphingobacteriales.